CUUGGAUCGAUUUUCAAAAAAUUGUCUUUUGGGUCACAUGACCUGUGUGACGUCAAGAGCAGGGUAGAAUCAAAACAACAAAUAUAUUUUAUUAGGCGCAUAUUGCGACUUCGUACUUCUAGUGAGAAAUUUGGCGCUUUUUGAUUACUCGGAUGGAAAAUAUCCACGAUAUCAAGUAGAUAAGGUAUUACCUUAUCAAUUUGAACUAAAACUGGGCUUACAAACAAGCGAUAGCGGUGACGAGAGCGACUCCGAAGAACAGAGUGAACGUCUGACGAGGAAAUCACCAUGUGUUUGAGGUCGAAAAUGCUUGGCGCAUUGCACAUUGAAACCAAAGGAUAUUGAAUUGUUUUGUUGCCACGAUAAAGCGUUAGAAUACGAUGAAUAAGAUGCAUGAUUGAAGGAGGUUGAAACACAAGGGGAGAAGUGCUUGACUGCCUUUACAACACUGUCAACACAUGCAGAAUUCAAAGCGAACAUGCUGUCGGAAGGGCUAUUAAAUAGAUGUUUGUCGCUAUCUUGAAGAUAUUAAACUGGCCUCUGGAUGACAAAGAUUUGGACAAGAUACACAAAAUUUAUAGACUAGUAGCUUACCAGCGAUGUUCGCGUUGGG
Molecule: non-coding RNA, 613 nt
Organism: Paramuricea clavata
Lineage: Eukaryota; Metazoa; Cnidaria; Anthozoa; Malacalcyonacea; Plexauridae
Source: the annotation of a GenBank genome assembly